UGGGGGGGUGAAGAAGGGGCCGGCCUUCGAGCGACAGCGACGCAAGAUGGCAGCCACCACGGGCUCGGGAGUAAAAGUCCCUCGCAAUUUCCGACUGUUGGAAGAACUCGAAGAAGGCCAGAAAGGAGUAGGAGAUGGCACAGUUAGCUGGGGUCUAGAAGAUGACGAAGACAUGACACUUACAAGAUGGACAGGGAUGAUAAUUGGGCCUCCAAGAACA
Molecule: RNA transcript, 220 nt
Organism: Otolemur garnettii (small-eared galago)
Lineage: Eukaryota; Metazoa; Chordata; Mammalia; Primates; Galagidae
Gene name: ubiquitin-conjugating enzyme E2 variant 1 pseudogene
Exons: 1
Source: RefSeq, a predicted model, not a curated record